UACGAAGGGUGCAAGCGUUACUCGGAAUUACUGGGCGUAAAGCGUGCGUAGGUGGUGCGUUAAGUCUGUCGUGAAAGCCCCGGGCUCAACCUGGGAAUGGCGAUGGAUACUGGCGCGCUAGAGUGCGGUAGAGGAGAGUGGAAUUCCCGGUGUAGCAGUGAAAUGCGUAGAGAUCGGGAGGAACAUCAGUUGCGAAGGCGGGACUCUGGGCCGAUACUGACGCUGAGGAGCGAAAGCGUGGGGAGCGAACAGG
Molecule: ribosomal RNA, 253 nt
Filed under: uncultured bacterium
Lineage: Bacteria
Description: partial 16S ribosomal RNA
Rfam family: Bacterial small subunit ribosomal RNA
Source: RNAcentral